Molecule: ribosomal RNA, 253 nt
Filed under: uncultured bacterium
Lineage: Bacteria
Description: partial 16S ribosomal RNA
Rfam family: Bacterial small subunit ribosomal RNA
Source: RNAcentral
UACGUAGGGGGCAAGCGUUGUCCGGAAUCAUUGGGCGUAAAGAGCGUGUAGGCGGCUAGGUAGGUCUGUUGUGAAAACUCGAGGCUCAACCUCGAGACGCCGAUGGAAACCAUCUGGCUAGAGUCCGGAAGAGGAGAGUGGAAUUCCUGGUGUAGCGGUGAAAUGCGCAGAUAUCAGGAAGAACACCCGUGGCUAAGGCGGCUCUCUAGUACGGUACUGACGCUGAGACGCGAAAGCGUGGGGAGCGAACAGG